This 217-nucleotide long non-coding RNA is filed under the name Elaeis guineensis (African oil palm). RNAcentral describes it as "long non-coding RNA (EGUI_LNC009022)". Lineage: Eukaryota; Viridiplantae; Streptophyta; Magnoliopsida; Arecales; Arecaceae. The record is from RNAcentral.
AUCACCAAGGAGCAUUUAAAAAUUUUCUAUAACAUAUUAACAAAGAUUAGGUCUUUAUCUGAUGUGCAGUGGAAUAAGGAUCAAAUCUCUAAAGAUUCUGAAUUCAAAGCCUCGCAAAGGUUUGAAUCCAUAAAUCCUCUACUUCACACGCAUGCCAAACUUCACAGAAAAGCAGGAUGAAGUCUCGGAUUGAAGCACCUUCACAAGAUAGCAAAGG